GGCGGGUCUCCCCGCAUGGUAAUUCGGAGCACCGGGUCAGGGGCGGAAGCCAGCAGCCCACUCUGAUGAGCCAGUGCCGGGGGUUCGGCUCGCCACC
Neisseria mucosa C102 is the source of this 97-nucleotide non-coding RNA. The record is from Rfam. NCBI's taxonomy places the organism in Bacteria, Pseudomonadati, Pseudomonadota, Betaproteobacteria, Neisseriales, Neisseriaceae.